This 92-nucleotide transfer RNA is filed under the name Marinilabilia rubra. RNAcentral describes it as "Marinilabilia sp. WTE tRNA-Ser". It matches the Rfam family "tRNA". Rfam says of the family: Transfer RNA (tRNA) molecules are approximately 80 nucleotides in length. Their secondary structure includes four short double-helical elements and three loops (D, anti-codon, and T loops). The record is from RNAcentral. Lineage: Bacteria; Pseudomonadati; Bacteroidota; Bacteroidia; Marinilabiliales; Marinilabiliaceae.
GGAGAGAUGGGUGAGUGGCUUAAACCACCGGUUUGCUAAACCGGCGUACGGGUAAUUCUGUACCGGGGGUUCGAAUCCCCCUCUCUCCGCAA